AACCUUAUGGACCUGCGGGCGUAUACCUGCGGAGGGAUCAUUACACUCAGUAGAUUUCUACUGCUCGGGGAGAGGGGAAAGCCUCCAGCCUGGCUGGCGGGUGAGUACGCUCUGUCUGCACCCUUGUCUUUUUGCGUACUUCUGUUUCCUCGGCGGGUUUGCCCGCCGGCUGGACAACACAACAACCUUUUUGAAUUUUCAAUCAGCGUCUGAAUAACCAUAAUAAUUACAACUUUCAAC
Molecule: unclassified non-coding RNA, 240 nt
Filed under: soil metagenome
Description: partial contains 5.8S ribosomal RNA, internal transcribed spacer 2, and large subunit ribosomal RNA
Source: RNAcentral